AACGCUAGCUACAGGCUUAACACAUGCAAGUCGAGGGGCAGCAUGGUCUUAGCUUGCUAAGGCCGAUGGCGACCGGCGCACGGGUGAGUAACACGUAUCCAACCUGCCGUCUACUCUUGGACAGCCUUCUGAAAGGAAGAUUAAUACAAGAUGGCAUCAUGAGUCCGCAUGUUCACAUGAUUAAAGGUAUUCCGGUAGACGAUGGGGAUGCGUCCCAUUAGAUAGUAGGCGGGGUAACGGCCCACCUAGUCUUCGAUGGAUAGGGGUUCUGAGAGGAAGGUCCCCCACAUUGGAACUGAGACACGGUCCAAACUCCUACGGGAGGCAGCAGUGAGGAAUAUUGGUCAAUGGGCGAGAGCCUGAACCAGCCAAGUAGCGUGAAGGAUGACUGCCCUAUGGGUUGUAAACUUCUUUUAUAAAGGAAUAAAGUCGGGUAUGGAUACCCGUUUGCACGUACUUUAUGAAUAAGGAUCGGCUAACUCCGUGCCAGCAGCCGCGGUAAUACGGAGGAUCCGAGCGUUAUCCGGAUUUAUUGGGUCUAAAGGGAGCGUAGAUGGAUGUUUAAGUCAGUUGUGAAAGUUUGCGGCUCAACCGUAAAAUUGCAGUUGAUACUGGAUAUCUUGAGUGCAGUUGAGGCAGGCGGAAUUCGUGGUGUAGCGGUGAAAUGCUUAGAUAUCACGAAGAACUCCGAUUG
This 694-nucleotide ribosomal RNA is filed under the name uncultured bacterium. Its description in RNAcentral is "bacterial SSU rRNA". It matches the Rfam family "Bacterial small subunit ribosomal RNA", at positions 32 to 715 of the family's 1533-position model. The record is from RNAcentral.